GCGCUGUCUACCAGUUCCUGAGAGGGACGCGUGCCGCGGAGCCAGGCUUGCUACGUGACCCGGACACCAGGCAUACGCUAGGGGCAGUCAGCUGUGCCUUCUCUUUCGGAGUUGUUCCGUGCUCCCACGUGCUUCCCCUCCUCCACUGGCUGGGAUCCCCCGGGCUCGGGGCGCAGACGGAGUCUCACUCUGUCGCCUAGGCUGGAGUGCAAUGGCACACCAUCUCGGCUCACUGCAACUUCCGCCUACCGGAUUCAAGUGAUUCUCUUGCCUCAGCCUCUCCUGCAGCUCCACCACCACUCCCGGCUAAGUUUUGUAUUUUUAGUAGAGACGGGGUUUCGCCAUACUCUCGACUUUCUGACCUCAGGUGAUCCACCCGCCUCGGCCUCCCAAAGUGCUGGGCUUACAGGCAUGAACCACCACUCCCGGCGAGAACUUUUGAGUAAUAAUUUUUCACCAUGCAUCGGAAAAAGGUGGAUAACCGAAUCCGGAUUCUCAUUGAAAAUGGAGUAGCUGAGCGGCAAAGAUCUCUCUUUGUUGUAGUUGGGGAUCGAGG
RNAcentral lists this small RNA (556 nucleotides) under Pan troglodytes (chimpanzee). RNAcentral's name for it is "processed transcript". The record is from RNAcentral. Lineage: Eukaryota; Metazoa; Chordata; Mammalia; Primates; Hominidae.